RNAcentral lists this unclassified non-coding RNA (4376 nucleotides) under Leishmania donovani. RNAcentral's name for it is "gene:LdHU3.02.0160(CDS-product:hypothetical_prote in)". Lineage: Eukaryota; Euglenozoa; Kinetoplastea; Trypanosomatida; Trypanosomatidae. The record is from RNAcentral.
CGAUCGCAUGCAUCACACUUGCAACACUGGGAGGCGAACGUGCUCUGACCUUUUCGCACAUCCACAUCCAUACCGCAGGCCAGCACGGCCUCGACUUCUUCUGAGUCUCCCUUCAUCCGUUUCUGGAGCACGCGCACACGAAACACCGAACCGCAUCGGAGCGCUCGCUGCCCUUGAGGUUGCGCGCUGUAGUACCUUCUCCUGCUCUUCCGUCGGCCCAGCUAGCCGUCACACACGUAGACAGGGGGUGGUGCGCGGCGCCUUGCCGCUUCUCUGCAACCGUGAGGAAGGCGGAGGAGGCGUGACAACGAACGGCAACCAUCAGAGGGCGCAUAGAGAAGAGGGGGUGAGCGUGAGCGCGCAACAGGCAGACCACCUGUAGCGGUGUCGAAGACGCAGAGGCGCCCCGCGUGGGGAGCGGAGCUGGGCCCCAUAGUUUGUGAAGAAAGGGCCGCAUCUUCCGAGAACACUCGCUAGCACGUACAACGCACACCGGCGCAUCGACCCAUCGGACGUGUGCGGUCAUGCAGUAAGGGGGAGGGGAGAGGCAUCGCAGAGACAGAGUUGAAGUACACUGGAGUCCGAUACGAGCAGCACCGCACAACGAAGGACGGGACGUGUUGUGGCAUCUGCAGAGGGGUGCUACCUUGCCAAGCCGCGCCCUUCUACUGCCCCCCACCCCCCUCAUGCUCGCUUUCGCCGACUUCCUGGUAAUAGAGAAGGUGGGAAACUGGUAGAUGAACCCUCUGGCCUUUGAUGGUGACGGCGGUCUGCCGCGGCUGCAGCGACGUAGCUCAUUCGGACAGAACGGCACAUAUGCUGGAAAUGCAGCAGGGCACGUUGCCUACACAACGGCGCAGUUGCCAGAGCCACUCUCACCGCUCUCCAGCUGCGUAGAAGUGGAAGCAAUGCAUGUGAUGGCGCACCGCAUCCUGCGGCCUCGCUCCGAUGGUGUCCGCUGCGCUGCGCGAGGAUUCGUCGUGACAGUUGGCGGCGACGAUGACACCGUGGACGUGAACACGAGCAGUGCCUCCAGCUUGACCACCUCGCCGCAAUGGCACCGCCACAACCCCUACCGUACGCUUUCUACCGCCACCUCCACCCCAGCCCACUCGCCCCGCGCGGAUGACUCUGGAGGUCGUCUUACACUGCCGGGCAGCCUCGUCGGCAGCAGCGGCAACGGAUCCGCACUGGCGUCGCAGCACCUAAACGUGGUUUUUCACCGGCACGCAUCUCGCGGCACCGUGUCUGCCGCGUCCGGCAGCGAGGCCUCGUACCGCCCGCAGCAAGCAUCAUCGCACCCAUCCGGGCACGCGCACUACACCCUUCUCUCCCCGAAGACUUCUCAGCCGCAAGAAGCGCUCUCGCGUACGUCUUCUGCCAGCCGCGCGAGCAGUCACUACAGCGGUGGCAACUGGCGCAACAGCAGCGCCGGCCUCCUGCCCGACGUGGACGUGGUGGAGGGUACCACCUCGAACUCUGGUGUGCUCCUCAUGCACGACUACCAGUUCCGCCUCAACAGGUAUGGUCGGAGCAGGGCGGCAUCGUCGUCUGUAACGACGCCGCAAUCGUACGCCACCGCCGAUCAUUUCUUUGAAGAGACAGGCGGCUUCGCCGUCGAUGCCGACUACGGCACCGGCAGCGACAGCCGGCGGCGCUCCGCUGCCUCGCACAGCUCCCCGGGUGACGUGAACCAUCGCCACCGGAGUGGCGGCGUUGAAGGCGGAUACGGCGGCGGCGGCACCGCAGCCGCUCCAGCUCCUCUUCUUCUGUCCAGCCUUGGCCGCUGCGCGAGCGCGUCCUUUUCGGAAAGUAGUGUGUGUGACCAGGGCCCCACGGAGUCGAUGGGCACCUCUGGCACCGCGCGGACGGACACGAACGGCGGGCAGACCGGGGCAUCGACAGCGCAGAGGUCUCACAGACCCACAAAGCCAUCCUCCGUGAUUUCCUCGAUUGAGGCGAGUCACCGGCCGCCGCAGGAUUGGCCCAGCGCCGAGCCAAGUGACAGCGACAGUGUGCCCAUCACACCGUUUCACGCGGACCCCACGUUGGCGCCGGCAGACCAGCCCGCCGCGGAGCAGCACAGCUAUGCCUACCACCCUCAGCAUCAGCGACAUCAACCGCGACUCAAGCCGAGCACUGACGCUGCAGCUCUGCCGCCUGCCACUGGCUCGGCUGCAGCCCCGAGUUUCACCGUCACCCAGCUCACCGAGAUGCUGGACGCGCACCGGGCACGUGCGCGCAGCGGCAGCGACGGCGGUGGCGGUGGUGACGGCGAGGAGGGAGACGAGGUUUGGUGCCCGGCAGGGUCACAGCUCUCCGUCUACGAUUCUGACAUGCGACAACACUACCGGAUCAAGAGCGAGCAAGUUGCCAUCACGCGUGGCGCCAUUAAGUACGCCUCCCUGAACGAGCGCUACGGCAACCGCAUGCGUUUUCGCUUUCAGCUGUGCAAUCGCUAUCUGCGCCACCGCUGCUCCAGCGCGGCGAAGUGCCCGUACAUCCACAGCCUUGUCGUCUCCACGGCGACGCAGGUGCACAUGAACGAAAACAGCAUCACCACCUCUGGCGUGCGUCAGAUGAACCGUGAGGAGCUUGCUGGGGGGCGCAACACGCUCGAGUAUCCCACGAUAGCCACAGGCAUGAUCUUUGCCGUGUACCCGCCAAACCAGCCGAAUAGCUCCCCGCAGCUCAUACCGUCGGAGCUCAUCCUGCAGACCGAGGGUGCCUUGCAUACGUACCAUGCGCUCAGUGGCGACGCGGCCGGUGGUGCGACCCACGACACUCAGACCGCCAUCGUGCGCCCGCGACACUGCGCGCACUUUCAGUUCAAGCGCAUGUGCAACCUGGGCACCUCCUGCCACUUUAUCCACUCGCUGAUCCCGUUUGUGCAGCGGCUGGUUAACCAGCCACCGCUGCCGCUGAGUGUAGACUUGAGCGCCCUCACCAGCAGCGUUGCCGGCGUCGUUCUCCCGGCUGCUGCGCUUGACGCGGUCGGCCCCGGCGGCGAGGAGGUGAUGAGCGGAGGCAGUGGUGCACGGGUGGCGAACAUAGCGGCGCCGCCACAGAUGCAGGGCCAAGUCAUCCCGCCUGUGUGCCCGCAGGCGGCGGAGGCGGCGCGGGAGGAGACGCGUCUACCGCCGCCGCCGCCACCACCAGCGCUCCUCUCUGGGCCUGCCGUGGCGAUGGCGCCAUGUGACCGAGCGAACACCUCGAACGGUGGAGAUGGCAACGCCACUCAGGCAACUGCGUGGAGGGGGGCGAAAAACGUCAGCGGCGCCGCGUUGUGCGAGGAAGGUGCGCUGCUGUAUCCGACGAUGGCCUCCGUUGGCGCUGCGGAGGCCAUGCGCCAACCAGCGGUGAUAAUGUCGCCUCCACACCGGAUGCAGCAAGGCGCCACCGUAGGAUUCUUCAACCAUCGCGUCAACACAGUGAAACAGCUUCCUGUACAGCGGCAACCACGACAGAAGCCGUUGCUUGUGGGAACGCCUUUAAUGCUGGUACGGGAACCGCAGGCGCAACCACUUCCGCCCACGCAGCAUCCUUUACUGCAGCGGUGGGGCUCAGCGGCGGCGGUGGUGGCGCCGCUUACCACUGGCACCGCCGUGCCGCUGCAGCACCCACCCACCGCCGCUGCGGUGCGUCGUGGGAACACACGGUGAUGAUUUUCGGAUUGCGGCAAUCCCCUAGCCGGGGGCUGUAGAUGGGCGCGAGGGACCUCGACAGCUUCGGCGUGUGCGUGUUGGGGGAGGGGGGCUGCGCAAUGCACCCUCCCGUGCUCUUCUUUCCUUCUUCCUCGUUUUGGUUGCUUCUCACGUCGCACCUCCAGCCGCGAGCGAUGCGUGCCGCGCAUCUCUGUGCUGCCACGCUUCUCGCUCCGUUUCGACGUCGUUGCAGCGAAACCCCUUCCCUCUUCUCUAUUCGCCUAUAUAUAUGUCUUUGUCUUUUCCCUUUCCGUACACCCUAGCACUCCUUCUCGCGCGUGUGUGUAGAUGUAGCUUGUGUGCGCGUGUGUGCGUCUGCAUACUGAUGAGUGCACACUUGUGCUUUUGGUGUAUAUACAUGCGUGUGUGUGUGUGUGUGUGUGUGCACUCGGCUGUGGGCCCGCGCGCGUCUCCUCACCACCCCCGACCUCCUGACCCCCUCGCCUCGUCAGUGUCAGUGAUGUACUCUGUGGUGCUUGAAACGGCGGUUGUUUUGUUUCGCUCGCCACGUGCCUCGCUUUCUCUCUCCAUCUCAGCGUUCCUCGCCGUUCUUCACCACACCACCCCCUCCCAUCGCCGCGCGUUCUCACAUGCUGAUGGUGCCCUCCCCCUCUCCACACACACACACACACACUUUCUCCGUACACGCAUUCCAUGCGCCCGUCGCCUCAG